Molecule: ribosomal RNA, 232 nt
Filed under: Klebsiella pneumoniae
Lineage: Bacteria; Pseudomonadati; Pseudomonadota; Gammaproteobacteria; Enterobacterales; Enterobacteriaceae
Description: partial 23S ribosomal RNA
Rfam family: Bacterial large subunit ribosomal RNA
Source: RNAcentral
GGGUUGUGAGGUUAAGCGACUAAGCGUACACGGUGGAUGCCCUGGCAGUCAGAGGCGAUGAAGGACGUGCUAAUCUGCGAAAAGCGUCGGUAAGGUGAUAUGAACCGUUACAGCCGGCGAUGUCCGAAUGGGGAAACCCAGUGCAAUUCGUUGCACUAUCGUUAACUGAAUACAUAGGUUAACGAGGCGAACCGGGGGAACUGAAACAUCUAAGUACCCCGAGGAAAAGAAA